Molecule: ribosomal RNA, 301 nt
Filed under: uncultured bacterium
Lineage: Bacteria
Description: partial 16S ribosomal RNA
Rfam family: Bacterial small subunit ribosomal RNA
Source: RNAcentral
CAGUCGCCACGGGAAUACAGAGGGUGCGAGCGUUAAUCGGAUUUACUGGGCGUAAAGCGUGCGUAGGCGGCUUCUUAAGUCGGAUGUGAAAUCCCUGAGCUUAACUUAGGAAUUGCAUUCGAUACUGGGAAGCUAGAGUAUGGGAGAGGAUGGUAGAAUUCCAGGUGUAGCGGUGAAAUGCGUAGAGAUCUGGAGGAAUACCGAUGGCGAAGGCAGCCAUCUGGCUUAAUACUGACGCUGAGGUACGAAAGCAUGGGGAGCAAACAGGAUUAGAUACCCCUGUAGUCCCUGUCUCUUAUAC